Molecule: ribosomal RNA, 440 nt
Filed under: uncultured bacterium
Lineage: Bacteria
Description: partial 16S ribosomal RNA
Rfam family: Bacterial small subunit ribosomal RNA
Source: RNAcentral
CCUACGGGGGGCAGCAGUGGGGGAUAUUGCACAAUGGAGGAAACUCUGAUGCAGCGACGCCGCGUGAGGGAAGACGGUCUUCGGAUUGUAAACCUCUGUCUUUGGGGAAGAAAAUGACGGUACCCAAAGAGGAAGCUCCGGCUAACUACGUGCCAGCAGCCGCGGUAAUACGGAGGGUGCGAGCGUUAAUCGGAAUUACUGGGCGUAAAGCGCUCGUAGGCGGUAUGUCAAGUCAAGGGUGAAAUCCCCGCGCUCAACGUGGGAACUGCCUUUGAAACUGGCAAACUGGAGUGUGGGAGAGGAAAGGGGAAUUCCAGGUGUAGGAGUAAAAUCCGGAGAUAUCUGGAGGAACAUCAGUGGCGAAGGCGACUAUAGGGAAAACAACGGACGCGCAGGCACGAAAGCGUGGGUAGCGAACAGGAUGAGAUACCCGGGUAGUC